AUGCAGACAAAGGCAGAGCUGGGCGCAUGGGAAGCGCGGCUCGCUCCGACCCCGCCGGACCGCGGCGAUGGGGCCGGCUCCGCACGCAGCCCCGCAGCUCUCGGGGUCAUCCCGGUACCGCAGGGACGCUGCUGUCACGGGGAGGUGGUGGGCGUUUAUCGGGGUGAGAGAGCGUCCCCAGUGCAGGGGAUCAGGGCUGGUGUUGGCAGCAUCGCUCCCCAGAGGCUCUGCCAGGGCCAACUUUACAAGGGAAGCUUUUUUUUUAUUUCAGGCUUUUCUUUCUUUUUUCUUCUUUCUUUCUUCCCCCCCCGCCCCCCCCCUACCCCCCAAGCAGAAACAAAGCCGAGGGCUCCAGCAGUGAGAGCACGGGUGGGAAAACAGACCGGGGGGGUGCAGGGGGGGGAGGUGGGAAGAAAAUACCAACAACCCACAGAUCCUGCAACAAGAAGGAUGGGUGAGAAGGAAACCGGGGGCUGCAGGGCUAGACGUGGGGCUGGGAGGGAAGGAGAGGUGAAGAGGCAGCUCCGCUGUGUCACGUAUGUCACAGCCCCGGAGCUGCCGCUGUGGCCUCGGGAGGCUCAGGGGGGUCCUGGGCCCCGCACAGAGGGGGAAGGGGAGCGGGGCGAGGGGUGUGGAGGCCGCAUCCCAAAGGCGCAACCCUCUCGGAUGGGUCCCCCCCCCAUCACCGUGUCAAGCGAGUGUCCCUACGGCACCCGCCCGGACUGUGCCCGGAGCUCUGAGCCCACCGGGCCACCCGGGAUGUCCCUCCUCAUCAGCGCUACCCGAGAUGUCCCCAGGAGAUCGCUCAGCGCUCAGCUCCCCGCGCCGUGCGCCUCCAAGUCCGGGGGGCAGCGGCAGCAGCGCCCCGCAGAGCUCUGCUUGCGAGGAGAGGAGAGACGAUGCUCCCGGGGGGGGAAGGAACCGAACCCCGGAGAUCUCCGGCUCCGCGCCCCGGCCCUGCAUCCCCGAGCCGAGCCGAAGCGAACCCGAACGGCGCCGUGCCCCGCCGCCCGCUGCCGGCCCUACCUGCACCGCGCCGCCGCCGGUCCCGUCUGCAGCCGCCGCCGCCGCCGAAGCGCGGAGCCGCGGGGGGCGGGAGGACGAGCGCCCCCUCCCCGCCCCCGGCCCCGCCGCCCGCCCCCGGCCCGGCCCCACGGCCCCGCGGGUGGCGGUGGGCGGCGGAGAGCGCGGGGCCCCGGAGCGGCGGCCACGAGGUUGAAGGGGGCGAGGGGGGGGGCAGGGGGGUAA
This 1248-nucleotide long non-coding RNA is filed under the name Coturnix japonica (Japanese quail). RNAcentral's name for it is "lncRNA (ENSCJPG00005010749.1)". The record is from RNAcentral. Lineage: Eukaryota; Metazoa; Chordata; Aves; Galliformes; Phasianidae.